Herpailurus yagouaroundi (jaguarundi) is the source of this 1200-nucleotide long non-coding RNA. RefSeq lists it as uncharacterized. The transcript is spliced from 3 exons. NCBI's taxonomy places the organism in Eukaryota, Metazoa, Chordata, Mammalia, Carnivora, Felidae. The record is from RefSeq and is a predicted model, not a curated record.
GGGGCUCCUGGGGGGUCUUUUCAAAACUGCGCCGGAAUUGUCCUGCGAACUGACCCCAGAGAAUGUUCGGAUUUAGGCUUCUAAUUGUGAAGAAACAUUUCAGAGGGCCGGGAUAUAACAAUGGGGAGGGAGCAGACAUAUUUAGCAGGGUUUCUCUGCAUAGCUGUCUCCCAAUUAACUGUUGAUUGUGGGUUGUUUCCAUGUGUUGUGAAUGGUUCUCGAAGACCUGUAGCCUAUCUAAGGAAUGCUUAAGUCUUUCCCCUUAAAAAUGGUUCCUUAUCAGUUUUAAGUUCAGAGGAGACCAUGGUAAAACAGUAUCGGCGCUGGGGUAUGGAGAAAUACUAGGCUUUUCUCGCUUGGAGUCCUGAUUUCAGUGUUCUGGUUCUAUCCUGAGCACUUCUCUGGGCUUCUGUUUUCUCAUUUUAAGCAAGGUUUCAAACGCCAAGAUGCAAGCGUUGUCAGAAUACAUAGAAAUGGGACGAUUUAAAAGGGAUCAGCUAUUACAUUUUUCAUGUUUCUCAUCACUAAAAAUGCGUUUAAAAAAAAAAAAAAAGCAUUAUUUUGGCUUAUAUUGCAAAAUCCCGAGUGUGAUUUUGGUUUUAGUGUGCCAAUAUUUUUAAGCAAAUUCAAAUGAAAUAGACAAAAUACCGUACCAAGAAAAGAGUUGGAGUCGGUAUUUCAGGUUUAGAUAGGUAUAGUUAGAAAGUGAAGGAUAUUUGGAAUUCCUCUCGUAACCUUUGAACUUUUAAACUUAAAAAUGAUUUCUGAAAUUUAAGAGUGCACAAACCCUUCAUUUUAAAUGUGAACUCAUUUUUCUUCACAUUUAAAAAUUAAAGUACCAUUCAAAAGGAUUGGCGAGAAAGAUCAUCAAGUUUUGGAACAUAGACUACAUACUUGGAAGGUACAGAUUUUCUAGCAGGUGGGGAUCAGUAGCAAUGGUUAUUAAUUCAGUUUCCCAUUUACAAGCAUCAGCCAUGUAGUUUCAUCUAAUAAAAACAAAGCACCUUGUAGGCCCCGUUAGCUUUUAUAUAUAAACACUUUUUUCUUUUUUUUUUUAGCUGAGGGUGAAUUUCCAGAAUUCUCAAUAACGUUACUAGAGGUGGAAAUUAUGGCACUUCAAGAGGCUCUGAACCCUUAUUUCAGUGAUCUUGCCUUCAAAUGUGUAUAGGAAUCCCAACACCCAGCACUUAUACUCGGGUA